UACGUAGGAGGCGAGCGUUGUCCGGAGUUACUGGGCGUAAAGGGUGCGCAGGCGGCCCCCCGCGUGUCGGAUGAAAUCUCCCGGCUCAACCGGGAGGGGGUCCGGCAGACGGGGGGGCUUGAGGCUCGCAGAGGGGCGUGGAAUUCCGGGUGGAGCGGUGAAAUGCGUAGAGAUCCGGAGGAACACCGACGGCGCAAGCAGCGCCCUGGACGAGACCUGACGCUCAGGCACGAAAGCUGGGGGAG
Molecule: ribosomal RNA, 245 nt
Filed under: uncultured bacterium
Lineage: Bacteria
Description: partial 16S ribosomal RNA
Rfam family: Bacterial small subunit ribosomal RNA
Source: RNAcentral